Molecule: transfer RNA, 84 nt
Filed under: Nephromyces sp. ex Molgula occidentalis
Lineage: Eukaryota; Apicomplexa; Aconoidasida; Nephromycida
Description: tRNA-Tyr
Rfam family: tRNA
About the family: Transfer RNA (tRNA) molecules are approximately 80 nucleotides in length.
Source: RNAcentral
GAGUUGAUGCCUGAGUGGUCGAUAGGGGUGGACUGUAAAUCCAUUAAUUAUAUAUUGACAUCGGUUCAAAUCCGAUUCAACUCA